Molecule: ribosomal RNA, 303 nt
Filed under: Bacillus velezensis
Lineage: Bacteria; Bacillati; Bacillota; Bacilli; Caryophanales; Bacillaceae
Description: bacterial SSU rRNA
Rfam family: Bacterial small subunit ribosomal RNA
Source: RNAcentral
AGCGUGGGGAGCGAACAGGAUUAGAUACCCUGGUAGUCCACGCCGUAAACGAUGAGUGCUAAGUGUUAGGGGGUUUCCGCCCCUUAGUGCUGCAGCUAACGCAUUAAGCACUCCGCCUGGGGAGUACGGUCGCAAGACUGAAACUCAAAGGAAUUGACGGGGGCCCGCACAAGCGGGGGAGCAUGUGGUUUAAUUCGAAGCAACGCGAAGAACCUUACCAGGUCUUGACAUCCUCUGACAAUCCUAGAGAUAGGACGUCCCCUUCGGGGGCAGAGUGACAGGUGGUGCAUGGUUGUCGUCAGC